AGUGGGUGUGGCCCAGAGAAACCCAGUGUCAGUGACAUCAUUAACCUCGAGAUGUUGCAACUUGGAUCCAAACUGAAAUCAAGUAACACACAGUCAGGCUGGUCCUGUUCUUCCUGUACAUUCAUAAAUAAGUCUACGAGACCCGGCUGUGAAAUCUGCAGCACAGAUCGACCCAAUCCUCCCAAUCACAGCAGCGUUCAACAGG
Molecule: long non-coding RNA, 205 nt
Organism: Sinocyclocheilus anshuiensis
Lineage: Eukaryota; Metazoa; Chordata; Actinopteri; Cypriniformes; Cyprinidae
Exons: 2
Source: RefSeq, a predicted model, not a curated record